This is a long non-coding RNA of Poecilia latipinna (sailfin molly), 870 nucleotides long. RefSeq lists it as uncharacterized. The transcript is spliced from 3 exons. The record is from RefSeq and is a predicted model, not a curated record. NCBI's taxonomy places the organism in Eukaryota, Metazoa, Chordata, Actinopteri, Cyprinodontiformes, Poeciliidae.
UCGUUUUAAGCCUGAAAAGCUGCUGGAGGAAACGGCUGGCUGCUUCUGAUCGAACCUCUGACUUCAUUUGCGUCAUGGUUCUACGAGCGCACAGUGAAACUAAUGCCAACAUGGAGGACGCGGCGCUGCUGCUGGUUCUGAAGGACGAAGUGAAAGUCGGCUGAUGUCCCUGCAGGAAGUGGUUCCUGUAACUUCCUGCUUUUGGGACUCAGAUCCUGGUUCUGCUUUGCUCGGUUAAAACAUGAAGCUGAAUACAGAAAAGGUUGUAAAUGAAAAUGUUUUUAUUGCUCAGAAAAGGUGAAAUGUUUUUGUUUUCUUCUGAAAACUCAAACUGGAGCCUUUUUAUACGUUUUCACUUUUUUCACAAGUAAAUUGUGUCAAAACGAUUUGAAGUUUUUAAUUUAUGAUCCCACAAAAACAAAAUCAGAUGUUUUAAAUUAAAAUAGUUCAUGGUUUGUUUGUUGUUGAAGAAGCAGUAUUUUUGUUGAAUUUAGUUUUAAAAUGUUUUUUUUGGCCAGCCUGCUUCAGCUGCUCGUUUUCCUGGUGGACGUUCAGCGGAUGAUCCUGGAUCCUAACUGGUUUCACUGGUUGGAUUUCUGGCUGCCUUCCACAGGGAAACUGAUUUGGGAGCAGCUCUUUUCCUCGUUCCUUCGGCUCCAGCAGCAGCCGCCUCCGAUUUGCUGAAAUCUGCCUGGAGAUUCCUCGCUCCGCUGGGUAAACUGGGUAAACUGGGAGCUCUCUGCCACAUCCAGGCCCAUCAUUUACAUCACAAUGGGAGUUAUGAGGGCCGCCGCGUGGAGACUGUUGCCAAGGCGACACAGGGGUUGCUAGGAUACGGAUGUUGGGGAGUGGUAAUGGAGGAGCAACAGG